RNAcentral lists this ribosomal RNA (442 nucleotides) under uncultured bacterium. RNAcentral describes it as "partial 16S ribosomal RNA". It matches the Rfam family "Bacterial small subunit ribosomal RNA", at positions 338 to 795 of the family's 1533-position model. The record is from RNAcentral.
CCUACGGGAGGCAGCAGUGGGGAAUAUUGGGCAAUGGGCGCAAGCCUGACCCAGCAACGCCGCGUGAAGGAAGAAGGCUUUCGGGUUGUAAACUUCUUUUGACAGGGAAGAGCAGAAGACGGUACCUGUCGAAUCAGCCACGGCUAACUACGUGCCAGCAGCCGCGGUAAUACGUAGGUGGCAAGCGUUGUCCGGAUUUACUGGGGGUAAAGGGCGUGUAGCCGGGCUGACAAGUCAGAUGUGAAAUCCGGGGGCUCAACCCCCGAACUGCAUUUGAAACUGUUGGUCUUGAGUAUCGGAGAGGCAGGCGGAAUUCCUAGUGUAGCGGUGAAAUGCGUAGAUAUUAGGAGGAACACCAGUGGCGAAGGCGGCCUGCUGGACGACAACUGACGGUGAGGCGCGAAAGCGUGGGGAGCAAACAGGAUUAGAUACCCUUGUAGUC